UGGGGGAUAUUAGGCAAUGGGGGAAACCCUGACCUAGCAACGCCGCGUGAAGGAAGAAGGUUCUCGGAUUGUAAACUUCUUUUAUUCGGGACGAAGAAAGUGACGGUACCGAAUGAAUAAGCCACGGCUAACUACGUGCCAGCAGCCGCGGUAAUACGUAGGUGGCAAGCGUUGUCCGGAUUUACUGGGUGUAAAGGGCGAGUAGGCGGGUCAACAAGUCAGAUGUGAAAUACCGAAGCUUAACUUCGGGGCUGCAUUUGAAACUGUUGGUCUUGAGUGAUGGAGAGGCAGGCGGAAUUCCCGGUGUAGCGGUGAAAUGCAUAGAGAUCGGGAGGAACACCAGUGGCGAAGGCGGCCUGCUGGACAUUAACUGACGCUGAGGCGCGAAAGUGUGGGGAGCAAACAGG
RNAcentral lists this ribosomal RNA (407 nucleotides) under uncultured prokaryote. RNAcentral's name for it is "bacterial SSU rRNA". It matches the Rfam family "Bacterial small subunit ribosomal RNA", at positions 355 to 776 of the family's 1533-position model. RNAcentral also lists the same sequence under 1 other name. The record is from RNAcentral.